This 319-nucleotide small nuclear RNA is filed under the name Ochotona princeps (American pika). RNAcentral describes it as "7SK RNA (ENSOPRG00000020950.1)". It matches the Rfam family "7SK RNA". From Rfam's summary of the family: 7SK was discovered as an abundant small nuclear RNA in the mid-70s but a possible function has only recently been suggested. Two independent studies have found that 7SK RNA binds the CDK9/cyclin T complex (known as elongation factor P-TEFb). The record is from RNAcentral. Lineage: Eukaryota; Metazoa; Chordata; Mammalia; Lagomorpha; Ochotonidae.
GGAUAUGAGGGCUAUCUGGCUGUGACAUCUGUCACUUCAUCGAUCGAUAGCCAGGGUUGAUUCGGCUGGUCUGGCUGGCUAGGCAGGUGUCCUCUUCCUCCCUCACCGCUCCAGGUGCAUCCCUCCUGAAGCUGCACCCUGGUUCAAAGAGGAUGACCAUUCCUGCUAGAGGAGGACGGGUCUUCGGUCAAGGGUGUAUGAGUAGCUGCACUCCCUGCUAGAACCUCCAAACAAGCUCUCAAAGUUAGCUGAAUGAUUCCUGAAAGUCAUUGCAUUCCUAAUGGUGGCUAGUUCUGCCUUGACCAAAGUCAAAGGAGGC